GACGAACGCUGGCGGCGUGCUUAACACAUGCAAGUCGAACGGAAAGGCUCCAGCUUGCUGGAGUACUCGAGUGGCGAACGGGUGAGUAACACGUGGGUAAUCUGCCCUGCACUCUGGGAUAAGCCUGGGAAACUGGGUCUAAUACUGGAUAUGACCUUUCUCCUUAUGGGGUUUGGUGGAAAGUUUUUAGGUGUAGGAUGAGCCCGCGGCCUAUCAGCUUGUUGGUGGGGUGAUGGCCUACCAAGGCGACGACGGGUAGCCGGCCUGAGAGGGUGAUCGGCCACAUUGGGACUGAGAUACGGCCCAGACUCCUACGGGAGGCAGCAGUGGGGAAUAUUGCACAAUGGGCGGAAGCCUGAUGCAGCGACGCCGCGUGAGGGAUGACGGCCUUCGGGUUGUAAACCUCUUUCAGCAGGGACGAAGCGUAAGUGACGGUACCUGCAGAAGAAGCACCGGCUAACUACGUG
RNAcentral lists this ribosomal RNA (467 nucleotides) under uncultured bacterium. Its description in RNAcentral is "partial 16S ribosomal RNA". It matches the Rfam family "Bacterial small subunit ribosomal RNA", at positions 28 to 507 of the family's 1533-position model. The record is from RNAcentral.